RNAcentral lists this non-coding RNA (109 nucleotides) under Schinkia azotoformans LMG 9581. RNAcentral's name for it is "Bacillus azotoformans LMG 9581 SAM riboswitch aptamer (S box leader)". It matches the Rfam family "SAM riboswitch aptamer (S box leader)". Rfam says of the family: The SAM riboswitch is found upstream of a number of genes which code for proteins involved in methionine or cysteine biosynthesis in Gram-positive bacteria. The SAM riboswitch acts at the level of transcription termination control. The record is from Rfam by way of RNAcentral. Lineage: Bacteria; Bacillati; Bacillota; Bacilli; Caryophanales; Bacillaceae.
CUCUUAUCAAGAGUGACGGAGGGAACAGGCCCGAAGAAGUUCGGCAACCACAAGCAAUGCUUGUAAGGUGCUAAAUCCUGCAGACAAGAUCAUGUCUGGAAGAUAAGAG